Danio rerio (zebrafish) is the source of this 576-nucleotide non-coding RNA. Lineage: Eukaryota; Metazoa; Chordata; Actinopteri; Cypriniformes; Danionidae. The record is from Ensembl.
AGAGUUUCAAGGCGUCUGACUGAAAACUUGGGAAUUCUGUAAUCUCACCAUGUCGUUUGAAGGCCACCAUAACAAACAUAUGCAAUAUGGUGAGUGCUUUUUAAAUUGUUUCUUAAAGUAAAAUGCACAGUACUAGUCACUGUCUAGUCCUAGUGGGCUUAGGAACUAGUGCAGUGCAAAAAGUACAAUUCCCUUCUCUUGCAACCCACUGCUGUGCUGUUCCAAUAGCAGUGUUACUAAUGAGAAGAGACAUUACUACAGGAAUUUUACCUAUUUAUUUUUAUGCAAGUGGCUAAAUUCUAUUUACUUACAGGUUUCGGGUGACAUUUCAGGUCCUCCUGUGAACUGAAGGCACCAGAAUGGGAAAUGGUAUCAGACCUGGGAGUAUUCAUAAACUUAAACCUAAGAAAACCUAAAAGAUGAACGUCCACUAGAUGGUGCCGCACCCGUUUUCAUGCUGAUGGAGGACUGUUGGAGCUCCCAUAUGGCAGGACUAAAGAAGGAAUGGAGGUCUUCAAUCUUGCGCAGUUCUACAGUUUGAAAAAAAUGAAAGCGUUUCCUAACCAGGCUUUUCCA